GGCUAUGGCCAUGCCACCCUGAACAAGCCUGAUGUCUGAUCUCAGAAGCUAAGCAGGGUCGGGCCUGGUUAGUACUUGAAUGGGAGACCACCUAAGAAGACCAGGUGCUGUAGGCA
RNAcentral lists this ribosomal RNA (116 nucleotides) under Pteropus alecto (black flying fox). Lineage: Eukaryota; Metazoa; Chordata; Mammalia; Chiroptera; Pteropodidae. The record is from RNAcentral.